GAUGAACGCUAGCUACAGGCUUAACACAUGCAAGUCGAGGGGCAGCACAGUGUAGCAAUACAUGGGUGGCGACCGGCGCACGGGUGCGUAACGCGUAUCCAACCUUCCCGUUACUCUUGGAUAGCCUUCCGAAAGGGAGAUUAAUACAAGAUGGUAUUCAAAUUCCGCAUGUUAUUUGAAUUAAAGAUUUAUCGGUAACGGAUGGGGAUGCGUGACAUUAGGUAGAUGGCGGGGUAACGGCCCACCAUGCCUACGAUGUCUAGGGGUUCUGAGAGGAAGGUCCCCCACACUGGAACUGAGACACGGUCCAGACUCCUACGGGAGGCAGCAGUGAGGAAUAUUGGUCAAUGGUCGGAAGACUGAACCAGCCAAGUAGCGUGAAGGAUGAAGGUUCUAUGGAUUGUAAACUUCUUUUAUACGGGAAUAAACCUCCACGUGUGGGAGCUUGUAUGUACCGUAUGAAUAAGCAUCGGCUAACUCCGUG
RNAcentral lists this ribosomal RNA (484 nucleotides) under uncultured bacterium. RNAcentral's name for it is "bacterial SSU rRNA". It matches the Rfam family "Bacterial small subunit ribosomal RNA", at positions 28 to 507 of the family's 1533-position model. The record is from RNAcentral.